GUGUCCCAUGUAGUUGUGUCAUAUCAAUAGUAGUAAUGAGCACCAGUGUGUCCAAUUUUGCCAUACACUUGACAUAUUGGUAUGGAGUGUCGCCGCUUCUUCUCCUCUUUUGAUGUUAUAGCAACUUUCUCUGUUGAAAUUAUUUUUUCGUCAUCCUCCUCUAUUAGGUGAUUGAGACGGUGGGCUCUAAUAGUUUCUGUUGUUCUUGAAGCUGGAGAAGUUUGUUGAAGGUCGUCGAGACUCAAGUUGACCAUUGUUGAGUAAAGUUGUUAUAGUCAUCUUUCGUAAUUGAACAAUCGCGAUUGAAGCUCUACCCAGAUUAUGCUCUCUUUCUCAGUGAUUUGACACACUAGUGGGUUGUAUUCAGGAGAAUUUAAAUUGACAAGGACUUGAGAGGUGAGAUCAUUGAGUGUUAUAGAGUGUCUUGCCAAAGCAAGAUUGUCUGUGAUUACUUUGAUGGAUUUUAAGU
Molecule: long non-coding RNA, 469 nt
Filed under: Carica papaya (papaya)
Lineage: Eukaryota; Viridiplantae; Streptophyta; Magnoliopsida; Brassicales; Caricaceae
Description: long non-coding RNA (CPAP_LNC009744)
Source: RNAcentral